RNAcentral lists this ribosomal RNA (301 nucleotides) under uncultured bacterium. RNAcentral's name for it is "partial 16S ribosomal RNA". It matches the Rfam family "Bacterial small subunit ribosomal RNA", at positions 509 to 809 of the family's 1533-position model. The record is from RNAcentral.
CAGCAGCCGCGGGAAUACGGAGGGUGCAAGCGUUAAUCGGAAUUACUGGGCGUAAAGCGCACGCAGGCGGUCUGACAAGUCAGAUGUGAAAUCCCCGGGCUUAACCUGGGAACUGCAUUUGAAACUGUCAGGCUGGAGUCUUGUAGAGGGGGGUGGAAUUCCAGGUGUAGCGGUGAAAUGCGUAGAGAUCUGGAGGAAUACCGGUGGCGAAGGCGGCCCCCUGGACAAAGACUGACGCUCAGGUGCGAAAGCGUGGGGAGCAAACAGGAUUAGAUACCCCGGUAGUCCCUGUCUUUUAUAC